UAAGCAGGUAGUGAAAUUGUGUGGCUCAACCAUACACCCAUUAUCUGAACUGCUCAGCUAGAGCAUGGGAGAGGUCACUGGAAUUUCUAGUGUAGGAGUGAAAUCCGUAGAUAUUAGAAGGAACACCGAUGGCGUAGGCAGGUGACUGGCCCAUUGCUGACACUAAGGCACGAAAGCGUGGGGAGCGAACGGGAUUAGAUACCCCGGUAGUCCACGCCGUAAACGAUGGAUGCUA
RNAcentral lists this ribosomal RNA (235 nucleotides) under uncultured Candidatus Saccharibacteria bacterium. Its description in RNAcentral is "partial 16S ribosomal RNA". It matches the Rfam family "Bacterial small subunit ribosomal RNA", at positions 584 to 818 of the family's 1533-position model. The record is from RNAcentral. Lineage: Bacteria; Candidatus Saccharimonadota.